Long non-coding RNA from Arachis duranensis, 344 nucleotides. RefSeq lists it as uncharacterized. The record is from RefSeq and is a predicted model, not a curated record. The transcript has 2 exons. NCBI's taxonomy places the organism in Eukaryota, Viridiplantae, Streptophyta, Magnoliopsida, Fabales, Fabaceae.
AACGCUACUCUUGCUCUGAGGAAGGUCCUUGCAAAAUGUUGUCUCUUACUGAGUCCUCCACUUCCAUUACUAUCUCGAUAUUGUCUGUUAUCAGCUUCGCUGUUAUGCUGCUCAUAUAAUCCAGUGGCACACCAUGCAUUUGCACCCAAAAAUCUAUGAAUAUGUGCUCUACUUCAUAUAUUGACUCGUUCUAUCUCUAAGUUGUUCACCUCCAUAGUUUGCCAUCGUUGUCGAUAUUCCCAGCGUGUGCCUGAUUUACGUGGUAUAUAGGUAAGUUUAUGUAUUUUGAGCUAGUUGAUCGAUGAGCUAGUGAAAGUGUAUUAAUAUAUGGAGUCGUUGUGUCA